CUGCCUUGCGAAAAAUGGAGGGAUCCACAAAUCAGUCAUAUAAAAACUAGUGUUAAAACAAGAAAACCCGUACAAAUCACAACGGAAAACGAUCGAUUCCUGGAACUGGACACUGCUUUUAUUUUGCGACUUAGGACGAGCUAAGUCGUUUUAGCGCUGGCUCAACUCAUUGAAGUACUGAAGAAAUAAAAAAGGCAGACCUCCAAAGGCAGGCCUCCAAAGGCAGGCCUCCAAAGGCAGACCACGAGUUGGCUUGACGACGUAGAGACAGAUCUACAACA
Biomphalaria pfeifferi is the source of this 281-nucleotide non-coding RNA. Lineage: Eukaryota; Metazoa; Mollusca; Gastropoda; Planorbidae. The record is from the annotation of a GenBank genome assembly.